This 305-nucleotide ribosomal RNA is filed under the name uncultured bacterium. RNAcentral describes it as "bacterial SSU rRNA". It matches the Rfam family "Bacterial small subunit ribosomal RNA", at positions 334 to 631 of the family's 1533-position model. The record is from RNAcentral.
UAUACCUACGGGACGCAGCAGUAAGGGAUAUUGGUCAAUGGGGGAAACCCUGACCGAGCAACGCCGCGUGAGUGAAGAAGGUUUUCGGAUCGUAAAGCUCUGUUGUAAGUCAAGAACGGGUGUGAGAGUGGAAAGUUCACACUGUGACGGUAGCUUACCAGAAAGGGACGGCUAACUACGUGCCAGCAGCCGCGGUAAUACGUAGGUCCCGAGCGUUGUCCGGAUUUAUUGGGCGUAAAGCGAGCGCAGGCGGUUUGAUAAGUCUGAAGUUAAAGGCUGUGGCUCAACCAUAGUUCGCUUUGGAA